UACGUAGGUGGCAAGCGUUGUCCGGAUUUAUUGGGUUUAAAGGGUGCGUAGGCGGGUUAUUAAGUCAGUGGUGAAAGCCUGCAGCUUAACUGCAGAAUUGCCAUUGAUACUGAUGAUCUUGAGUAUGAUUGAGGUGGGCGGAAUGUGUCAUGUAGCGGUGAAAUGCUUAGAUAUGACACAGAACACCGAUUGCGAAGGCAGCUCACUAAGUCAUAACUGACGCUGAUGCACGAAAGCGUGGGGAGCAAACAGG
This 253-nucleotide ribosomal RNA is filed under the name uncultured bacterium. Its description in RNAcentral is "partial 16S ribosomal RNA". It matches the Rfam family "Bacterial small subunit ribosomal RNA", at positions 524 to 776 of the family's 1533-position model. The record is from RNAcentral.